Molecule: long non-coding RNA, 1026 nt
Filed under: Anolis carolinensis (green anole)
Lineage: Eukaryota; Metazoa; Chordata; Lepidosauria; Squamata; Anolidae
Description: lncRNA (ENSACAG00000042563.1)
Source: RNAcentral
AUGGAACUGGACAAUUUGGACAGAAAAACAAGAAAACUCAUGACCAUUCAUCAUUCACUGCACCCUCGCAGUGAUGUUGACCGACUAUAUCUGCCUAGAAGAUCAGGGGGCAGAGGACUCUUACAAGUAAAACAAGCAGUCAAAGAAGAAGAACAUGCCCUGGCAGAAUAUGUAAAGCAAAGUGAAGAACCUGCUUUGAUUGAAGUCAAAAAUCAGAAACUCCUCAAAGCACAGCAGACAAAAAACCAGUACAAGAAAACCGCACUACAAACUAGAGCUGACAGCUGGCACAACAAAACACUGCAUGGAAAGUUCCUUGACAAAAUUGAAGGAAAAGCUGAUAAGGAGAAGACCUGGCUCUGGCUCACGAAUGGGACUCUGAAGAAGGAGACAGAAGGCCUGAUCCUUGCAGCCCAGGAGCAAGCCAUCAGGACAAAUGCAAUUAAGGCCAAGAUUGAAAAAUCAGCUGAUGACCCAAAAUGCAGACUGUGCAAGGAAGCUGACGAAACCAUUGAUCAUCUCCUCAGCUGCUGUAAGAAAAUUGCACAGACAGACUACAAACAGAGGCACAACUGUGUGGCCCAAAUGAUCCAUUGGAACUUAUGCAUCAAGUACCACCUGCCAGCAGCAAAGAACUGGUGGGAUCACAAACCAGCAAAGGUCGUGGAAAAUGAACACGCAAAGAUACUGUGGGACUUCCGAAUCCAGACUGACAAAGUUCUGGAACACAACACACCAGAUAUCACAGUUGUGGAAAAGAACAAGGUUUGGAUAAUUGAUGUCGCCAUCCCAGGUGACAGUCGCAUUGAUGAAAAACAACAGGAAAAACUCAGCCGCUAUCAGGACCUCAAGAUUGAACUUCAAAGACUCUGGCAGAAACCAGUGCAGGUGGUCCCGGUGGUGAUGGGCACAUUGGGUGCCGUGCCAAAAGAUCUCAGCCGGCAUUUGGAAACAAUAGACAUUGACAAAAUUACGAUCUGCCAACUGCAAAAGGCCACCCUGCUGGGAUCUGCACGCAUCAUCUGA